GGAUCCUUCAGGAAGGGCUCUGGCUGGUGCAUUCCUUGGGAUAAACUCUCCUUUGCUUACCAAAUAGACUGGCCUGAGGUCAGAGGUGCCACUGGAGAGCCGGGUCCCCUGAGACAUGGAGAGGUCACAAGGCUGACAGAUGGGGGUGCAGCUGUGCCAUCACUACACCCUGAAGAAUUCCCUGCACUGCCUGUCUCAGUGCCUCCAUCAUUAGCAGGAGGAAUCCUGUUGACAAGACAAUUUUUAUUCAGUAGUGUACAGUUUUUAAAAACUUUUUAAACCUCACAGGUACAUUAUAUAGGAGUCAGAGGCUACUCAGCUCUACAUGUAGACAUGGGGAUCAUUUGGGAGACGUCUGGAUAAGAACUAGAUUCCAGGGAUAACUCAAUUGAGACUUUAACUCCACUUCCAUCAAAGCCAAAGACCGAUGCGAGCUGCCAUGAGCCACCAGACCGUGACAAGAGUGAAAUGAGAUGUCACCUGAGUUCCUGGAAGAUGACUAGUUCCAGAAAGAAUGUGACUCUUCCUCCUCCCAUUAGCCUAUCUCUUCCUCAUUCAUCCUACCCCCCAUCUGUGACUUCCUGACCCAUCACUGUGGUGAGAGGUUCACUGGACAGGAGGCCUCUGCCUUGGCUGGAGCGAGGGGGAGAGAGAUCGCGCAGGAUGACAGCCUUUCUUUAAAUGGGAGUUGCAGACCCAGAGGACAAAGAAAACUGGCUGAAGACCAUGGUGGUCUUGACUACUGUCUGAGGGAAUUUCAGUCCACUUGGCUGCUCACUGAAUCCUCAGCUGAUUCCCCUUCCAUCUUACCAUCUGUUUCCUCCUCCCCUCCAGCGUGGACACCCUGGCACUUUGUGAGGAAAUCCUCUCGAAGACACUGCUGCUGAAUGGUGUCUCACACAUGCUCCCCAGGGCCAGAACCCAGGUGCUAACUUUCUUUCCACCCUGCCGCCUCGUCAAGGCCUCAGGUGGACACAGGACAUCCUCAGGCGGACACAGGACAUCCUCAGGCAGACACAGGACAUCCUCAGGCGGACACAGGACAUCCUCAGGCAGACACAGG
Molecule: long non-coding RNA, 1063 nt
Filed under: Heterocephalus glaber (naked mole-rat)
Lineage: Eukaryota; Metazoa; Chordata; Mammalia; Rodentia; Bathyergidae
Description: lncRNA (ENSHGLG00000035184.1)
Source: RNAcentral